Molecule: ribosomal RNA, 373 nt
Filed under: uncultured bacterium
Lineage: Bacteria
Description: bacterial SSU rRNA
Rfam family: Bacterial small subunit ribosomal RNA
Source: RNAcentral
ACAGAGGGUGCAAGCGUUGUCCGGAAUUACUGGGCGUAAAGGGCGCGUAGGCGGUCCAAUAAGUAGGGGGUGAAAUCUCACGGCUCAACCGGGAGGCUGCCUUCUAGACUGUUGGACUUGAGCACGGUAGAGGCAGAUGGAAUUCCCGGUGUAGCGGUGGAAUGCGUAGAGAUCGGGAAGAACACCAGUGGCGAAGGCGAUCUGCUGGGCCGUUGCUGACGCUGAGGCGCGACAGCGUGGGGAGCAAACAGGAUUAGAUACCCUGGUAGUCCACGCCGUAAACGAUGGGCACUAGGCGUCGGGGGGAGCGACCCUCCCGGUGCCGUCGCUAACGCUGUAAGUGCCCCGCCUGGGGAGUACGGCCGCAAGGCUG